Molecule: transfer RNA, 71 nt
Filed under: Loxodonta africana (African savanna elephant)
Lineage: Eukaryota; Metazoa; Chordata; Mammalia; Proboscidea; Elephantidae
Rfam family: tRNA
About the family: Transfer RNA (tRNA) molecules are approximately 80 nucleotides in length. Their secondary structure includes four short double-helical elements and three loops (D, anti-codon, and T loops). Further hydrogen bonds mediate the characteristic L-shaped molecular structure. tRNAs have two regions of fundamental functional importance: the anti-codon, which is responsible for specific mRNA codon recognition, and the 3' end, to which the tRNAs corresponding amino acid is attached (by aminoacyl-tRNA synthetases). tRNAs cope with the degeneracy of the genetic code in two manners: having more than one tRNA (with a specific anti-codon) for a particular amino acid; and 'wobble' base-pairing, i.e. permitting non-standard base-pairing at the 3rd anti-codon position.
Source: Rfam by way of RNAcentral
GCAGUGGUGGUUCAGUGGUGGAAUUCCCACCUUUUAUGAGGGAGUCCUGAGUUUGAUUCCUGGCCAAUGCC